GACCAGACUCCUACGGGAGGCAGCAGUGGGGAAUAUUGCACAAUGGGGGAAACCCUGAUGCAGCGACGCCGCGUGAGUGAAGAAGUAUUUCGGUAUGUAAAGCUCUCUCAGCAGGGAAGAAAAUGACGGUACCUGACUAAGAAGCCCCGGCUAACUACGUGCCAGCAGCCGCGGUAAUACGUAGGGGGCAAGCGUUAUCCGGAUUUACUGGGUGUAAAGGGAGCGUAGACGGCAUGGCAAGUCAGAUGUGAAAGCCCGGGGCUCAACCCCGGGACUGCAUUUGAAACUGUCAGGCUGGAGUGCAGGAGAGGUAAGUGGAAUUCCUAGUGUAGCGGUGAAAUGCGUAGAUAUUAGGAGGAACACCAGUGGCGAAGGCGGCUUACUGGACUGUAACUGACGUUGAGGCUCGAAAGCGUGGGGAGCAAACAGGAUUAGAUACCCGCGUAAA
Molecule: ribosomal RNA, 448 nt
Filed under: uncultured bacterium
Lineage: Bacteria
Description: bacterial SSU rRNA
Rfam family: Bacterial small subunit ribosomal RNA
Source: RNAcentral